UAUUAUUUCAACUGAAUUAUUUUCUUAAGCAUCGCUGAAUUCUCAGAUGCAAAUGCGCGGCAAAUUUCCAAUCUAUCACUGUCAUGACUCUAUGGUUGAGAUUCAGUAUGCCCUUCGAAGUUUAUGAUCAUCAUCUCGUAUCUAGCUACACAGAACUAUUUCGUAAUAAAUCACACGAACUAAAAUAUAUCAACUUCGAAGCUCCCUUGAGAAUUUAUGAACGUUAAUCUCAGUAAUGACCCUAAAGACUGAUUUUGAUUGACACAUCUUGCAAUGCUCAAUACGUACUUGAACAUCGGGUAGGGCGUCCAAGUGCCUCGGCUAGCCGAGUAAUCCCUUAGGCCGAGGCCGAGUAAGAUAUACGACCGCGAUAAUCUUCACUCAAGGUUCAUGAAAUCGCUGAACACGAUACAACUUUCUCGGCGAAACGGUCUUUGGGUGUCGCGUCGAGGGGAUUAAAGAAAGGUGGGCGGACAGCUGGACUAGGAUUCCAAUUUUCCGAACACACAAAGCUAAUUGAUGGCGUUGAAUUUUUGACCUUUUCAUUAUCUAUUCAUUCUGUCCUAAUAACGAUUUGGCAUUUUAGAAAGAAUUAGAAGGGAAUUUUGAUACAACGAAAUUUAAUGCUUUGUACCUUAUUUAGGCGACUCAGUAAAAUGUUGAAUUCAUUACUUACUUAUUUUUCUUUUUUUGUAAAAAAAAAAACUUUAAUUUAAAACAAAAAGUCACUUAAGUUUAUGUAUCGGAUUUAUUAAUUGCUGUUCAAUGAGUUAGCGAUAAGAAAGUUCCAAAGAUAUUUUCGCAUUAAUCACAACCACAAACUGGUAAUGAGCCCCUCUUACUUCUUGCCUCACAAACAAUACAUUCGGAUCUGCCUCAUAACGAGUUUCUCGGGAAAAUUAUACGAUACCGCCGAUAUCGAUUCAACUGUAUCGAGUAUCAGACGAGUAUCGUUCGUGACUACUAACAGUUCACGUAUUAUAUUACACAGACGAUCAAAUAAAAUGUUUUGUGAUGUGUUGUUACUGAACCGACCAGACAGACGUACACACAUACAUAUAUCCUCUAUAAUAUAAUUAUACGGGCAUUAGUCUACAAUUCGCACGUUACACUUGAUGUUGUGGAAACGUCCAGUUUUUAUACUGUAUAAAAAACCUUAACAAUUGUUUUACUCAUAAUGAGAUGCUGUUUAUUACACUUUGACCAAUCAGAGCCGCAAUAAGGUGUUUUGUGUAGCAAAAAAAUAAUACUUCUCAACAAGUUAUUUUUAUCAAAAUUUUUCUUCAAGAACAAUUGAAUAUGACCUUCAAAAUAAUCCUAAUAGAGCAUAGAAUAUAUGAAUUUGAAAUUGUAUAAAAUAUAAAAACAGUGUAUUGUUAUUCAAUCCGAUUACAACGCGACUUCAAGGUUGCCAAUACCAUACUAGAUAAUGUAUGAAGUGGGUUAUGCGCAGGUAUGAGUGGUACUCACAGCAUACAUUUAAAUACAACAUAGGAAGUGUUUUAUAAUGUGUUCAAACAUAUCUGUCUGUCUAGGUAUUUGUAUAAAUGGUAAAAAAAAUAACGAUAAAAAACACAAAACGUAAGAAUAUACUCUCAAAAAGAUGGUAAUAAACUCUCGUCCCUGGGAAAUCAGUUGUUAAAAUUAGAGUAUUUAGGUUAGUAACAAAGUGAAAUGUGGAAUAAUAUAAAAAAAUAUAGGUCCAGACGUCAACGCAACAUGAUUUGCUAGUAGAGGCUCUUUGUUUGACAUUAUUAUGAGCCAAACGUUUCACCCAUUCCGCACUUCUUCAUACGAAUUCCACAAACUCAAAAAUGUAGAUAUGAAUUCUAUUUACUAGAAUUAAUGGGCAUCACGUGGUCAUAACUAGACGCCAUUAAUUUUGUGUGGGUGCCACGUAUUUUAUUUUAUCUACAUUAAAUAAUGUGAGAAAAACUAGAAAACAUACAGCUGAAUAUUUUUUUUAAUAGAGCAUUCUGUGAUGCUUGAUUUUUAGUUUUAUUUUAUAACAUACUUUUGUGAUGAAAAACGGUGACACACGCCUACACGAUGCUUAAACUAAAAUAUAAUUUCCAUGAAAUCUAUGUGCACUCGUGGUCACAUGGUAUCUUCAAAGACGCCUUCCAGGGAUUAGGAAAGGGACGUCUGACAUAAACAGUGUAAUACAGACACCAGCGUUUAAAGCUAUCCUAAACUGUUUGUUCAUAGAUUUUAAACUCUAUGGUUUUGAAAUAAAGUUGAAAAUCUAUUGAAGAAUUUGAUAAAGGAGUAAGUUGAUAUGCUGGCGUUUGUUUAUUCAUAACGUUUAUAUCAUAAUCUCCGUCCAAUUUAUUUACAUUAAACUUUCGUCUUACAUCUUCACGAAGAUGCAGACAUUGAAAAAUGUGGUUAAUAUUUUCUCCAGUAGAGUAAAAAAUAAAAUAAAAAUAUAGCGAGACUUGAGCCGCGCUUCCUCUUACGCCUUUCCCGGUCCGCAAUAUUUCCUAAUAACAAAAGACAGUGUGUUCAUCCCAACGUUUGCAUUUUCAUCUUAUCGUGAACCAGAAAACAAGUUAUUUCAUAGUGAAACACUGCUGCCUCAGGCAACCGUACCACAUCGCUAGCCAGGUUAUCGAACUGUGAAAUGGUCUCACAUCAUGCACGAAUGCCUUAUCCUUAUUUAAACGUACACUAUGUGAAAAACAAAAUGUUUCGCAAUAAGUCGACUUGAACCCUUUUUACCGUUGUCGGAUAACUUUAUUGAAAGUCCUUCGUUUGAAAGUCAAAUGUAUUGAGUUUCGAAAUUCACUUGCUUAAACUAUGAAGAACAUUUUGUGAGAUCUAGCAACAUUAUAACUUCUUAAAGAUUGUGAAUUUAUGUUAAUCAAGUACGCGAAUGGCUAAGAUGCUUUUAAAUUUUGAAAAUCUCUUUCAAGGGACUUUGCACGUUUCUUUUAUUAAAACUAUUCAUUUAUAAAGAUUGUGUUAUUCAAUUUGUUAUUAUCUUAGUGUAGACAAGAUUCUUGCGUGUUUGAAUAUUUCUUGUCGAUUCAUAUUAUAUUUUAAAUUACAAUACGUGAGAUGAGAAUCCUUAUAAUUCUCUACCGUAUAGAAACUAAUAUAAAAACUAUUAAUAACAUAAGAAAAAAUAUGCUAGAUUUGAGAAAAAUAAAGACAGGAAACCGGAUGAUUCUGAAUCUAAAAAUGAAGGAUGUUUUUAUUCUUCCUAAAAGUUAGAAAAGAAAAAACUUUUUAAAGUCGAAGAAAAUAUCAGUUAUUACAAUAUCCUUUUAAUAUUCCGUCUUUGUGAAAAGCGAAAAGAUAGGCCGUUAUAAUUUUACCAAAAAAAAAACUUGUACACAAAUAUAAAAAUCGAUCUUAUCGUACUUGACAUAGAUUUGAUAUUUAAUUGCUUUACUGCCAAUCCUCAAAAGUCAUUUGAAACCUCAAAAAGUUGCAUGUACUUCACAAGUGUCUCAUUAAAAAUUUAAUUUCACAUUAGCACAGUACAUAACCAUAAAUUUCUUUUAUAAUGGUUUGUCUAAAUUUCGUGUCUCUUAAAGUUAGCGCAUUUAUUGCCGUAGGACCGUAAUAAAAACAGGCGAUCACGUAGUUGGAAACGACCAUAAUCCUAAACGCCGGCCGGCCUAUGGAGACCGCUAAUCUCAACUAUUGCGACCCCUGAAAGUGUUGGGAUAUUUGCCAAAUAAUAUUGCCUAGAAAUUCAUCAAUAGUACCUACCAAGCAUGCUUGCAGUUACGUGACGGUUUGGUCAUACUAAAUUGAUUAGAAUAUAGAAAUGAUACUAUAAGAGUGUAAGACGAGUUAAUAAGAGUAUAUACAAUAGUCAAUUCCAUAAGAAAUCAUAUGCAGAUUCAACAACAGACAAUAACUCCCAAUAAUUUCAAUUUACUCGUAUCUCCCAGAAAAAAAAUGAUUUAUUUACAUUUGUUUAUUCGUCAUUUAACAAAGCAAAGCUAAAGAAGCCAUACGUUCAACGUGCUAUUUAAUUUAGUACUAUGGCUGCAAAACGUCCUCUGUUGUUUCUUUUGUUCAUUUUAACCGAUUUCCCAAUGUACUGAAUAAAUCACCGACUCUAGGGAGUGACGACACUUAACACGAAUACAUUUCCCAAUCGAAUUUAAUGUUUAAUUCAUAAAUUUACGUUUUUUGUAUGAAAAUCGCGGCUUUUCUUACGCAUAGCUGCUAUCUUAAUAAUAAAUUACAAUACUUUUCA
Spodoptera frugiperda (fall armyworm) is the source of this 4216-nucleotide long non-coding RNA. RefSeq lists it as uncharacterized. The transcript is spliced from 2 exons. NCBI's taxonomy places the organism in Eukaryota, Metazoa, Arthropoda, Insecta, Lepidoptera, Noctuidae. The record is from RefSeq and is a predicted model, not a curated record.